This 253-nucleotide ribosomal RNA is filed under the name uncultured prokaryote. Its description in RNAcentral is "partial 16S ribosomal RNA". It matches the Rfam family "Bacterial small subunit ribosomal RNA", at positions 524 to 776 of the family's 1533-position model. The record is from RNAcentral.
UACGUAGGGACCAAGCGUUGUUCGGAUUUACUGGGCGUAAAGGGCGCGUAGGCGGCGCGGUAAGUCACUUGUGAAAUCUCUGAGCUUAACUCAGAACGGCCAAGUGAUACUGCAGUGCUAGAGUGUGGAAGGGGCAAUCGGAAUUCCUGGUGUAGCGGUGAAAUGCGUAGAUAUCAGGAGGAACACCGGCGGUGUAGACGGCUUGCUAGACCAUAACUGACGCUGAGGCACGAAAGCGUGGGUAGCAAACAGG